UCUUUGGUUGUUUAGCUAUAUGA
This 23-nucleotide microRNA is filed under the name Schmidtea mediterranea. RNAcentral's name for it is "sme-miR-9b-5p". Its record names the gene sme-miR-9b-5p. The record is from miRBase by way of RNAcentral. Lineage: Eukaryota; Metazoa; Platyhelminthes; Tricladida; Dugesiidae.